CUCCUCCAAAAGUUUUACCUCCUCACUCUCCUAUCUCAAAUCUAUCUCUCUCUUUGUCGAGAUCUGCCGCCUCCUUUCUUUUUUCUUUACAAACAGAACCAGACCCACCUUCACAAAUCGAUUUUGAUCCAACAAAUAAAAGAGGGUAUUCAUGGAAAAAAUCUUCCACUUGUGAGUAGUAAAACAGAGAGAAAGAAAAUGUAGAUUUGGGAUUUUGCUUGCAAUCAGAGACUCAAACAAAUUUCAGUGAUUGUGAUCUAGCACUUGUGGUGGUGAAUUGCGAAGGUUGUGGUGAUAAUGGUAGUUGUUUAAUUUUGAUUGGUUUUGGUGGAUAGUUUUCCGGCUUAGUACCAUUGAGGGUAAUUUUUGGGUUAAUUCAUGGUGUAAGUUUAGCGAUCAUGGUAGAUAAGAUGUUCUCUCAAUUUAGAAUGCAGUAAGAAAUUAUUACAUGAUUUAUUGGAUCUCGUUUGUGAUAUUUAAGUUCUUUAGCUGUGAUAUUACAUGAUGAUGUAGUAUGAAAUGUUUGAAGAAAUUAAAAUAAUUUGUUAUUGG
Long non-coding RNA from Papaver somniferum (opium poppy), 552 nucleotides. RefSeq lists it as uncharacterized. The record is from RefSeq and is a predicted model, not a curated record. NCBI's taxonomy places the organism in Eukaryota, Viridiplantae, Streptophyta, Magnoliopsida, Ranunculales, Papaveraceae. The transcript has 2 exons.